Molecule: ribosomal RNA, 422 nt
Filed under: uncultured archaeon
Lineage: Archaea
Description: partial 16S ribosomal RNA
Rfam family: Archaeal small subunit ribosomal RNA
Source: RNAcentral
CUACGGGGGGCUGCAGGCGAGAAAACUAUGCAAUGUGCGAAAGCACGACAAGGUUAAUCCGAGUGGUUUGUGCUAAACGAACCUUUUGACAGUCCUAGAAACACUGUUGAAUAAGGGGUGGGCAAGUUCUGGUGUCAGCCGCCGCGGUAAAACCAGCACCUCAAGUGGUCAGGAUGAUUAUUGGGCCUAAAGCAUCCGUAGCCGGCUCUGUAAGUUUUCGGUUAAAUCUGUACGCUCAACGUACAGGCUGCCGGGAAUACUGCAGAGCUAGGGAGUGGGAGAGGUAGACGGUACUCGGUAGGAAGGGGUAAAAUCCUUUGAUCUAUUGAUGACCACCUGUGGCGAAGGCGGUCUACCAGAACACGUCCGACGGUGAGGGAUGAAAGCUGGGGGAGCAAACCGGAUUAGAUACCCGUGUAGUC